GGAGAAGGAGAAGGCGGUGUUCGAUGUGGAUGCAGCCAGUGCUUUGGUGAAUGAGCUGAGAUGCACUUUCGCUUCUGGUAAGACUCGGAGCUAUGAAUGGAGAGUUACUCAGUUGAAAAAUAUGUUAAAGAUGUGUGAUGAGAACGAGAAAGAGAUCGCCGAGGCUCUUCGCCAGGAUCUUUCCAAGCCUGAACUCGAAUCCGUUGUUUAUGAGAUAGGCAUGCUGAAGAACUCGUGCAGAGUGGCGCUUAAAGAAGUGAAACAUUGGAUUGUGCCAGAAAAGGCAAAGACCUCAUUAACCACUUUUCCAUCAUCGGCUGAAAUUUUGUCAGAACCUCUGGGUGUUGUUUUAAUAAUUUCAGCAUGGAAUUAUCCUUUUUUGUUGUCUCUUGAUCCACUUGUUGGAGCUAUUGCAGCUGGUAAUGCUGUGGUAUUAAAACCAUCAGAAAUUGCUCCAGCCUCAUCCUCAUUGCUUUCAAAACUACUUGUGAAAUAUUUGGAUAGCUCUGCCAUAAGGGUUAUUGAGGGGGCUGUUGCUGAAACGUCUGCCUUGCUGGAGCAAAAGUGGGAAAAAAUAUUUUAUACAGGCAAUGGAAGAGUGGCACGUAUUGUGAUGGCUGCUGCUGCAAAGCACCUGACACCGGUUGUUUUGGAACUUGGGGGAAAAUCUCCUGUUGUCAUUGAUGCAGGCAUCAAUUUACAGGUUGCAACUAGGCGGAUAAUUGCAGGAAAGUGGGGGUGUAACAAUGGACAAGCGUGCGUUUCUCCUGAUUACAUUAUAACAACGAAAGAUUAUGCUCCAGAACUGGUGGAUACACUGAAAAACGAACUAGAGAGAUUUUAUGGAAAGACUCCAUUGGAAUCAAAAGACUUGUCCCGAAUUGUGAAUUCUAACCAUUUUACUCGUUUGACUAAGCUACUGGAUGAGGAUAAGGUUUCUGGUAAUAUUGUCCAUGGAGGUGAAAGAGACAAAGAAAGCCUGAAAAUUGCUCCCACCAUCUUGCUGGAUGUCCCACAAGACUCUCUGAUAAUGAAUGAGGAGAUAUUUGGUCCGUUGCUUCCUAUUAUAUUGGUGAACAAAAUCGAAGAGAGUUUUGAUUUGAUAAACUCAGGAACAAAGCCACUUGCAGCUUAUUUAUUCUCCAAUAAAAAGAAACUCAAGGAACAGUUCGUGAUGUCUGUCUCUGCAGGGGGUCUAGUCAUCAAUGACACUACUGUGCAUCUUGCUGUUGAUACUUUACCAUUUGGAGGUGUUGGGGAGAGUGGAAUGGGUUCAUACCAUGGAAAGUUUUCUUUUGAUGCUUUUAGCCAUAAGAAGGCAGUACUAUAUCGAAGUUUCAUUGGUGAUGCAGCCAUAAGGUAUCCGCCAUAUACCACAGAGAAGGUAAGAUUGAUGAAGGCCUUAAUCGGUGGUGGCAUAUGGAACAUUAUCCAAGCUUUGCUUGGCUGGGGCAAGGCUUGAGAAGAAUAUGUGGUUGUUCGUGUAAGUUUAAGAUACUCGACCCUUGUAAAUUGUUGUUCUUGUACAAUUUAAAUUGGAUUAAGAUUGAUGGGUUGCAACAAUGGAAAAGGAAUGUUGCAUAAGUAUUUAAUAUCUUCUGAUGAGUGUGUUGAUUUGCUCAGAAAUUUGAGAUUAUUUAGACCUGUUGUGGGGUCUAGAUUCAGUCUCUAUUGACCAUCUUUUACAUGUGCUUAUCUACACGAGUGCACA
RNAcentral lists this unclassified non-coding RNA (1711 nucleotides) under Hevea brasiliensis (rubber tree). Lineage: Eukaryota; Viridiplantae; Streptophyta; Magnoliopsida; Malpighiales; Euphorbiaceae. The record is from RNAcentral.